Molecule: ribosomal RNA, 930 nt
Filed under: Escherichia coli
Lineage: Bacteria; Pseudomonadati; Pseudomonadota; Gammaproteobacteria; Enterobacterales; Enterobacteriaceae
Description: partial 23S ribosomal RNA
Rfam family: Bacterial large subunit ribosomal RNA
Source: RNAcentral
AGGCUGUCUCCACCCGAGACUCAGUGAAAUUGAACUCGCUGUGAAGAUGCAGUGUACCCGCGGCAAGACGGAAAGACCCCGUGAACCUUUACUAUAGCUUGACACUGAACAUUGAGCCUUGAUGUGUAGGAUAGGUGGGAGGCUUUGAAGUGUGGACGCCAGUCUGCAUGGAGCCGACCUUGAAAUACCACCCUUUAAUGUUUGAUGUUCUAACGUGGACCCGUAAUCCGGGUUGCGGACAGUGUCUGGUGGGUAGUUUGACUGGGGCGGUCUCCUCCUAAAGAGUAACGGAGGAGCACGAAGGUUGGCUAAUCCUGGUCGGACAUCAGGAGGUUAGUGCAAUGGCAUAAGCCAGCUUGACUGCGAGCGUGACGGCGCGAGCAGGUGCGAAAGCAGGUCAUAGUGAUCCGGUGGUUCUGAAUGGAAGGGCCAUCGCUCAACGGAUAAAAGGUACUCCGGGGAUAACAGGCUGAUACCGCCCAAGAGUUCAUAUCGACGGCGGUGUUUGGCACCUCGAUGUCGGCUCAUCACAUCCUGGGGCUGAAGUAGGUCCCAAGGGUAUGGCUGUUCGCCAUUUAAAGUGGUACGCGAGCUGGGUUUAGAACGUCGUGAGACAGUUCGGUCCCUAUCUGCCGUGGGCGCUGGAGAAUUGAGGGGGGCUGCUCCUAGUACGAGAGGACCGGAGUGGACGCAUCACUGGUGUUCGGGUUGUCAUGCCAAUGGCACUGCCCGGUAGCUAAAUGCGGAAGAGAUAAGUGCUGAAAGCAUCUAAGCACGAAACUUGCCCCGAGAUGAGUUCUCCCUGACUCCUUGAGAGUCCUGAAGGAACGUUGAAGACGACGACGUUGAUAGGCCGGGUGUGUAAGCGCAGCGAUGCGUUGAGCUAACCGGUACUAAUGAACCGUGAGGCUUAACCUUACAACGCCGAAG